AAAGACAAGAAGACCCUUUUAAGCUUAAUAAAGAAUUCUUUGGCUUUUAUCUUAUCAAGAAUCUGGCUAAGGUCUAUAAAUUUGGUUGGGGUGACUGAAGAAGAUAAAAUCUUCUUUUGUUUAUUAGUACUUUAGGUUAAAAAAUGACCCAAGAUUUCUUGGUUGUAAGAAUUAGUUACUAAAGGGAUAACAGCGUAAUCUUUUCAAAGAGUUCUUAUCGAAGAAAAGGAUUGCGACCUCGAUGUGACUUGCUUUUUCCUGUUAUGGUGUAGAAGCUGUAAGGGUUGGUCUGUCGACCAUUAAAAUAGU
Molecule: ribosomal RNA, 309 nt
Filed under: Nemertea sp. Antarctic ARM-2008
Lineage: Eukaryota; Metazoa; Nemertea
Description: partial 16S ribosomal RNA
Rfam family: Bacterial large subunit ribosomal RNA (bases 186-309)
Source: RNAcentral